RNAcentral lists this transfer RNA (91 nucleotides) under Holosporaceae bacterium. Its description in RNAcentral is "tRNA-Ser". It matches the Rfam family "tRNA". From Rfam's summary of the family: Transfer RNA (tRNA) molecules are approximately 80 nucleotides in length. Their secondary structure includes four short double-helical elements and three loops (D, anti-codon, and T loops). Further hydrogen bonds mediate the characteristic L-shaped molecular structure. tRNAs have two regions of fundamental functional importance: the anti-codon, which is responsible for specific mRNA codon recognition, and the 3' end, to which the tRNAs corresponding amino acid is attached (by aminoacyl-tRNA synthetases). tRNAs cope with the degeneracy of the genetic code in two manners: having more than one tRNA (with a specific anti-codon) for a particular amino acid; and 'wobble' base-pairing, i.e. permitting non-standard base-pairing at the 3rd anti-codon position. Lineage: Bacteria; Pseudomonadati; Pseudomonadota; Alphaproteobacteria; Holosporales; Holosporaceae. The record is from RNAcentral.
GGAAGGGUGACAGAGAGGUCGAUUGUGACGGUCUCGAAAACCGUUAUACGCUUUCCGCGUAUCGUGGGUUCGAAUCCCACCCCUUCCGCCA